This 406-nucleotide ribosomal RNA is filed under the name uncultured bacterium. Its description in RNAcentral is "partial 16S ribosomal RNA". It matches the Rfam family "Bacterial small subunit ribosomal RNA", at positions 29 to 526 of the family's 1533-position model. The record is from RNAcentral.
AUUGAACGCUGGCGGCAGGCUUAACACAUGCAAGUCGAGCGAGCGGCGGACGGGUGAGUAAUGUCUGGGAAACUGCCUGAUGGAGGGGGAUAACUACUGGAAACGGUAGAUAAUACCGCAUACCAUCAGAUGUGCCCAUAUGGGAUUAGCUAGUCGGUGGGGUAAUGGCUCACCUAGGCGCCGAUCCCUCGCUGGUCUGAGAGGAUGACCAGCCACACGGGAACUGAGACACGGGCCAGCGUCCUACGUGAGGCAGCAGGGGGGAAUAUUGCACAAUGGGCGCAAGCCUGAUACAGCCAGGCCGCGUGUGUGAAGAAGGCCUUCGGGGUGUAAAGCACUGUCAGCGAGGAGGCGUUACUCGCAGAAGAAGCACCGGCUAACUCCGUGCCAGCAGCCGCGGUAAUAC